GCUGGGCAUGGUGGUGUGUGCUUGUAGUCCCAGCUACUUGGGAAGCUGAGAUGGGAGGAUCCCAUGAGCCCAGGAGGUCAGGACUGCAGUGAGCUGUGAUUGUGCCCACUGCACUCCAGCCUGGGUGACAGAGUGAAACCCUGUCUCAA
Molecule: non-coding RNA, 149 nt
Filed under: Gorilla gorilla gorilla (western lowland gorilla)
Lineage: Eukaryota; Metazoa; Chordata; Mammalia; Primates; Hominidae
Source: Rfam by way of RNAcentral